This 358-nucleotide transfer-messenger RNA is filed under the name Longimicrobiales. RNAcentral describes it as "GCA-2718595 sp002718595 X1 Standard tmRNA". It matches the Rfam family "transfer-messenger RNA". From Rfam's summary of the family: Bacterial tmRNA, also known as 10Sa RNA or SsrA, is named for its dual tRNA and mRNA-like properties. Its role is to liberate the mRNA from a stalled ribosome. RNAcentral also lists the same sequence under 1 other name. Lineage: Bacteria; Pseudomonadati; Gemmatimonadota; Longimicrobiia. The record is from RNAcentral.
GGGGGCGUCACGGUUUCGACGUGAUUAGUGAAUUUGGAACUGCGUGCCGAGGUCCCUGGAUCCUCGUUAAUCCUCUGGGAAAAUUGUAAUUGCCAACACUGAAAUGGCGAUGGCUGCGUAACUUAGCUUACGUGCUCGUUUCUUGAUUCCCCAGCUCGAAGGGAAUCUCUGAAGCGUCGAUAAAUCGAGCUGGUCUUGGGUUAGAGCUGUCAUGACCGAAGGCAAGAUUAUUUGAUGGCUAGUCUGGGAGUUGGUUGCCCGCUCACCUGCCUGGAUGAAACUACGAGUGGUGCUACGCACGUAGAGGUUCUACAGGAGCUAUUUGCGGACGCGGGUUUGACUCCCGCCGCCUCCAUUG